This 443-nucleotide ribosomal RNA is filed under the name uncultured Oscillospiraceae bacterium. RNAcentral describes it as "partial 16S ribosomal RNA". Lineage: Bacteria; Bacillati; Bacillota; Clostridia; Eubacteriales; Oscillospiraceae. The record is from RNAcentral.
GACUACUAGGGUAUCUAAUCCUGUUUGCUCCCCACGCUUUCGCGCCUCAGCGUCAGUUAAUGUCCAGCAGGCCGCCUUCGCCACUGGUGUUCCUCCUAAUAUCUACGCAUUUCACCGCUACACUAGGAAUUCCGCCUGCCUCUCCAUCACUCAAGAACUGCAGUUUCAAAUGCAGCUCGGGGGUUAAGCCCCCGCAUUUCACAUCUGACUUGCAAUCCCGCCUACACGCCCUUUACACCCAGUAAAUCCGGACAACGCUUGCCACCUACGUAUUACCGCGGCUGCUGGCACGUAGUUAGCCGUGGCUUGUUUUCGAGGUACCGUCAUUUCUUUCUUCCCUCGUCAAAGAAGUUUACAACCCGAAGGCCUUCUUCCUUCACGCGGCGUUGCUGGGUCAGGGUUUCCCCCAUUGCCCAAUAUUCCCCACUGCAGCCUCCCGUAGG